GUUGCCAUCGGGUAAUGCCGGGCGACUCUGGAAGGGACUGCCAUCGACAAGAUGGAGGAAGGUGGGGAUGACGUCGAAGUCAUCAUGGCCCUUAUGUCCAGGGCGACACACGUGCUACAAUGGCCGGCACAACGGGAAGCGAGUUCGCGACGGACAAGGCGGAUCCCUUAAAGACCGGUCGCAGUUCGGAUUGAAGUCUGCAACUCGACUUCAUGAAGCUGGAAUCGCUAGUAAUCGUGGAUCAGCCAAGCCGCGGUGAAUACGUUCCCGGGCCUU
This 276-nucleotide ribosomal RNA is filed under the name uncultured Synergistaceae bacterium. Its description in RNAcentral is "partial 16S ribosomal RNA". It matches the Rfam family "Bacterial small subunit ribosomal RNA", at positions 1114 to 1382 of the family's 1533-position model. Lineage: Bacteria; Thermotogati; Synergistota; Synergistia; Synergistales; Synergistaceae. The record is from RNAcentral.